This 497-nucleotide ribosomal RNA is filed under the name uncultured bacterium. Its description in RNAcentral is "partial 16S ribosomal RNA". It matches the Rfam family "Bacterial small subunit ribosomal RNA", at positions 28 to 507 of the family's 1533-position model. The record is from RNAcentral.
GAUGAACGCUGGCGGCGUGCCUAAUACAUGCAAGUCGAGCGAACAGACGCGGCGCUUGCUCCUCUGACGUUAGCGGCGGACGGGUGAGUAACACGUGGAUAACCUACCUAUAAGACUGGGAUCACUUCGGGACACCGGCGCUAAUACCGGAUAAUAUAUUGAACCGCAUGGUUCAAUAGUGAAAGACGGUUUUGCUGUCACUUAUAGAUGGAUCCGCGCCGCAUUAGCUAGUUGGUACGGUAACGGCUUACCAAGGCAACGAUGCGUAGCCGACCUGAGAGAGUGGUCGCCCACACGGGAGCGGAGACACGGUCCAGACUCCUACGAGAGGCAGCAGUAGGGAAUCUGCCGCAGUGGGCGAGAGCCUGACAGAGCAGCGCCACGUGAGUGAUGAAGGCGUUGGGAUCGGAAAGCUCGGUUAUGAGUAAUGAACAAAUGUGGAAGUAGCUGUGCACGUCUUGACGGUACCGGGUCAGAAAGCCACGGCUAACUACGUG